UUGAACGCUGGCGGUAUGCUUUACACAUGCAAGUCGAACGGGCUAUGGGGCUUGCUCCAUAGUUAGUGGCGAACGGGUGAGUAAUAUAUCGGAACAUAUCCGGAAGUGGGGGAUAACGUAGCGAAAGUCACGCUAAUACCGCAUAUGCCCUGAGGGGGAAAGGGGGGGAUCGCAAGACCUCUCGCUUUCGGAGUGGCCGAUAUCGGAUUAGCUAGUAGGUGAGGUAAAGGCUCACCUAGGCGACGAUCCGUAGCUGGUCUGAGAGGACGACCAGCCACACUGGAACUGAGACACGGUUCAGACUCCUACGGGAGGCAGCAGUGGGGAAUUUUGGACAAUGGGCGAAAGCCUGAUCCAGCCAUACCGCGUGAGUGAAGAAGGCCUUCGGGUUGUAAAGCUCUUUCAGCAGGAACGAAACGGUCGGCUUUAAUAAAGUCGGCUAAUGACGGUACCUGCAGAAGAAGCACCGGCUAACUACGU
This 480-nucleotide ribosomal RNA is filed under the name uncultured bacterium. Its description in RNAcentral is "bacterial SSU rRNA". It matches the Rfam family "Bacterial small subunit ribosomal RNA", at positions 30 to 506 of the family's 1533-position model. The record is from RNAcentral.